This 253-nucleotide ribosomal RNA is filed under the name uncultured bacterium. Its description in RNAcentral is "partial 16S ribosomal RNA". It matches the Rfam family "Bacterial small subunit ribosomal RNA", at positions 524 to 776 of the family's 1533-position model. The record is from RNAcentral.
UACGAAGGGGGCGAGCGUUAUUCGGAUUUACUGGGCGUAAAGCGUGCGCAGGCGGUUCGUUGUGUCGGCGGUGAAAGCCCCGGGCUCAACCUGGGAAUGGCCGUUGAAACUGGCGAACUGGAGUGUGGCAGAGGGGGGUAGAAUUCCGCGUGUAGCAGUGAAAUGCGUAGAGAUGCGGAGGAACACCGAUGGCGAAGGCAGCCCCCUGGGCUGACACUGACGCUCAGGCACGAAAGCGUGGGGAGCAAACAGG